CAAAGUACAAAAGAAUGUGAAGCCAAAAGAAGAGGACAGAACUUAUAUGUCACUGAGCGGUAGAACUGUCAGCUCUUCAGAGUAUGAUGUCAUUAACACAGCUCCAAAGAGUCAGUGACGCUGACCUUGAAAAUGAUCCAGUAUAUAAGAUUUUUUUCUUAAGAUUCCAAGAAGAUGUAAUGCAUUUUUGGAAUAAACUAUCUAAUCGUCUGAAUGCCUUGUAGUGACAGAAAGUCACAGGAUCAAGACCAGCACGGUGAGAGAGUGGAAGCCAAAGCUUAACAAGAGCAAUUUGGCAUGCAGAUGAGGGGAAGCCAGGAAUUGAACCACCAACCUUCUGAUCAGUUGAUGACCUGCUCUACCUCCUGAGCCACAGCCACCACUGCCAUCAUAAUCAUUAUUUAGAAUGACAUAAACCGCAAAUCAAAAAAUAUAUGUGAGUGUAAGAAGAUGUAGAGAGGGUUUUUGUCAGGUUUUAUGAAGGUUUUUUUUAUUUUACAUCGUCAGAAAUCCAGUUUUUCUUUUGGACACUUUUGAGGGAGAUUUUGAUAACAAUGUGUCUGUAUGUAAUUAUUUGUUCAUGUAUUACUACAAAAAAUUGUACACAUUUCACACGCUGCUGAUGUGAUGCCUCUUGUACAGCGGGAAGCCAUCAAAACCUUUCUCCAUUUCACGACGAAAGAUGCCGGCCACAAAGGACAGAAUGAAGCUGGAACAGCUUAAUAUCAAAGAAACAUUGUAUGGAUGAGCAAAUGGUGCCAUUUAAGGGCAAGAGCAAAUUCAAGAAGUAUCGACCCAGUAAAUCAAGAAAACGCGGUUUCUAAAUAUUAUUUCUUGAAAUAACACUGCGAAUUGUACGAGCAGCUUUCCUUCUUGGAGGCUCUGGGGGGUCCUUGGAGGCACCGCACUCCUCCACCUGCUGCCCGCCUGCACCCGAACCUCCGCAGGGGAGAGUGGACGUCUCUAGCCGAUCUUCGGCCGUUUAGUCUUCCGCCUCACCCCUCGCCGCUCCCCCGCCUGCCUCCUCAUCAACCAUGUGUCCCAUCACCUCCGCUUGUUCACAGAGGAGGCAGUCCUGGUGGCCGGCCUCCAGAUCAGCUCUGUCCCCGCUGCUGACCACUUGCCCGCCCUCCUGAACUGUUUCGUCUUUGCAGCUGGCUAUGCGGCCUCCCUCCUAAACUUUUCUUCUGAUUCUCACAACAUGAGAAUCAAUAUAACAUGAUAUUGGACAUUUCCAAUCUAAGCCUGUAUCAAGUCACAUAUGUCAAUAUGGUUUUAAAUUUUUUUUUCAAUUCUUCACAAUUCGGGAAGAUUUCCAGAUGUUUUUAUUGCUUUCUAAUAGUUGUGUAAUGGUGUCUGAGUUAAUCAUUUUCUCUGUCGUUUUAUACUAUUGUUGCACAACAAAUAUCUUGGAUUAUAUCUGAAAUAUAUUUAUUUUUAGGCAAUAAAAUGGCCCAAAAUGAGUCAUAAUAUGAUGUUGAUCUACCAUCAAAACGUGUACGGUAGGGUGUUAAAUCAUUUUACAAAAGUGCUUUGUUAAGACAGUGAGUUCAUGUGGCUUCAACACAUUACAUAAUUUUACAUAUUGUUUGACUUUUUGAC
This is a long non-coding RNA of Oreochromis aureus, 1602 nucleotides long. The record is from Ensembl. Lineage: Eukaryota; Metazoa; Chordata; Actinopteri; Cichliformes; Cichlidae.